UAACGCCCCGAACUUAAGCAUAUCAGUAAGGGCAGGAGAAGAAACCAACUGGGAUUCCACUAGUAGCGGCGAGUGAACAUGGAUGAGCUCUGAUGGUAAAGUGCAGUGCACUGUUGUAAGAGCCGUGUAUGCCUAGACGCGCAUGAAUGCGUGGCCUUUGCGAGUGAGAGCCUCGGCAGGCAGCAGCACGGCGGUAGAGUGAGUAGCGUUGCUUGGUAGUGCAAUGUGAAGAGGAGGUAGUAACUUCUAAAGCUAAAUAUCGCCAGAGACCGAUAGCAAAUAAGUAGCGCGAGCGAAGUGUGAAAAACGUCAUGUGGACUGUGAAAAGUGAAAAUACCAGGCGUAAGCCGAG
This 352-nucleotide ribosomal RNA is filed under the name Enterocytozoonidae sp. RNAcentral's name for it is "LSU rRNA". It matches the Rfam family "Archaeal large subunit ribosomal RNA", at positions 159 to 538 of the family's 2987-position model. Lineage: Eukaryota; Fungi; Microsporidia; Enterocytozoonidae. The record is from RNAcentral.